UAGUAUAAUUGGUAGUACGGAGGAUUUUGGGUCUUCAGGAGCAGGUUCGGGGCCUGUUUUUCUA
This 64-nucleotide transfer RNA is filed under the name Zonosaurus tsingy. RNAcentral describes it as "partial tRNA-Gln". The record is from RNAcentral. Lineage: Eukaryota; Metazoa; Chordata; Lepidosauria; Squamata; Gerrhosauridae.